Molecule: ribosomal RNA, 500 nt
Filed under: uncultured bacterium
Lineage: Bacteria
Description: partial 16S ribosomal RNA
Rfam family: Bacterial small subunit ribosomal RNA
Source: RNAcentral
AUUGAACGCUGGCGGCAGGCCUAACACAUGCAAGUCGAGCGGUAGAGAGAAGCUUGCUUCUCUUGAGAGCGGCGGACGGGUGAGUAAAGCCUAGGAAUCUGCCUGGUAGUGGGGGAUAACGUUCGGAAACGGACGCUAAUACCGCAUACGUCCUACGGGAGAAAGCAGGGGACCUUCGGGCCUUGCGCUAUCAGAUGAGCCUAGGUCGGAUUAGCUAGUUGGUGAGGUAAUGGCUCACCAAGGCGACGAUCCGUAACUGGUCUGAGAGGAUGACCAGUCACACUGGAACGGAGACACGGUCCAGACUCCUACGGGAGGAAGCAGUGGGGAAUAUUGGACAAUGGGCGAAAGCCUGAUUCAGCCAUGCCGCGUGUGUGAAGAAGGUCUUCGGAUUGUAAAGCACUUUAAGUUGGGAGGAAGGGCAUUAACCUAAUACGUUAGUGUUUUGACGUUACCGACAGAAUAAGCACCGGCUAACUCUGUGCCAGCAGCCGCGGUAA